RNAcentral lists this ribosomal RNA (268 nucleotides) under uncultured Syntrophus sp. RNAcentral describes it as "partial 16S ribosomal RNA". It matches the Rfam family "Bacterial small subunit ribosomal RNA", at positions 1117 to 1382 of the family's 1533-position model. The record is from RNAcentral. Lineage: Bacteria; Pseudomonadati; Thermodesulfobacteriota; Syntrophia; Syntrophales; Syntrophaceae.
UCAUUUAGUUUGGGCUACGUCUAAAGUAAGACUGCCGGUCGGUCUAAACCGGAGGAAGGUGGGGAUGACGUCAAGUCCUCAUGGCCUUUAUGCCCAGGGCUACACACGUGCUACAAUGGGUGGUACAAAGAGCAGCCAGCUCGCGAGAGUGAGCAAAUCUCAAAAAGCCAUCCUCAGUUCGGAUUGAAGUCUGCAACUCGACUUCAUGAAGUUGGAAUCGCUAGUAAUCGCGGAUCAGCAUGUCACGGUGAAUACGUUCCCGGGUCUU